GGCGGCAGGCUUAACACAUGCAAGUCGAGCGGUAGCAGAUCUAGCUUGCUAGAUGCUGACGAGCGGCGGACGGGUGAGUAACGCGUAGGAACCUGCCCAGUAGUGGGGGAUAGCCCGGGGAAACUCGGAUUAAUACCGCAUACGCUCUACGGAGGAAAGAGGGGGCUUCGGGCUCUCGCUAUUGGAUGGGCCUGCGUGAGAUUAGCUAGUUGGUGAGGUAAUGGCUCACCAAGGCGACGAUCUCUAGCUGGUCUGAGAGGAUGAUCAGCCACACUGGGACUGAGACACGGCCCAGACUCCUACGGGAGGCAGCAGUGGGGAAUAUUGCACAAUGGGCGCAAGCCUGAUGCAGCCAUGCCGCGUGUGUGAAGAAGGCUUUCGGGUUGUAAAGCACUUUCAGUGGGGAGGAAGGCCUCGUAGUUAAUAGCUGCGAGGAUUGACGUUACCCACAGAAGAAGCACCGGCUAACUCCGUG
Molecule: ribosomal RNA, 475 nt
Filed under: uncultured bacterium
Lineage: Bacteria
Description: bacterial SSU rRNA
Rfam family: Bacterial small subunit ribosomal RNA
Source: RNAcentral